Molecule: ribosomal RNA, 445 nt
Filed under: uncultured bacterium
Lineage: Bacteria
Description: SSU rRNA
Rfam family: Bacterial small subunit ribosomal RNA
Source: RNAcentral
AGAGCGAACGCUGGCGGCAGGCCUAACACAUGCAAGUCGAGCGCCCCGCAAGGGGAGCGGCAGACGGGAGAGUAACACGUGGGAACGUACCCUUCAGUUCGGAACAACCCAGGGAAACUUGGGCUAAUACCGAAUACGUCCGUAAGGAGAAAGAUUUAUCGCUGAAGGAUCGGCCCGCGUCUGAUUAGCUAGUUGGUGAGGUAACGGCUCACCAAGGCUACGAUCAGUAGCUGGUCUGAGAGGAUGAUCAGCCUCACUGGGACUGAGACACGGCCCAGACUCCUACGGGAGGCAGCAGUGGGAAUAUUGGACAAUGGGCGCAAGCCUGAUCCAGCCAUGCCGCGUGGAUGAUGAAGGCCUUAGGGUUGUAAAGUCCGUUUCGGACGGGGAAGAUAAUGACGGUACCCGUAGAAGAACGCCCGGCUAACUUCGUGCCAGCAGCCGC